RNAcentral lists this ribosomal RNA (305 nucleotides) under uncultured soil bacterium. RNAcentral describes it as "bacterial SSU rRNA". It matches the Rfam family "Bacterial small subunit ribosomal RNA", at positions 26 to 362 of the family's 1533-position model. The record is from RNAcentral.
AGAACGAACGCUGGCGGCAUGCCUAAUACAUGCAAGUCGAACGAGAUCUUCGGGUCUAGUGGCGCACGGGUGCGUAACGCGUGGGAAUCUACCCUUGGGUUCGGAAUAACAGUUGGAAACGACUGCUAAUACCGGAUGAUGACGAAAGUCCAAAGAUUUAUCGCCCAGGGAUGAGCCCGCGUAGGAUUAGCUAGUUGGUGAGGUAAAGGCUCACCAAGGCUACGAUCCUUAGCUGGUCUGAGAGGAUGAUCAGCCACACUGGACUGAGACACGGCCAGACUCCUACGGGAGCAGCAGUAGGGAUA